Molecule: ribosomal RNA, 353 nt
Filed under: uncultured bacterium
Lineage: Bacteria
Description: partial 16S ribosomal RNA
Rfam family: Bacterial small subunit ribosomal RNA
Source: RNAcentral
CCUACGGGUGGCAGCAGUAGGGAAUUUUGCGCAAUGGGGGAAACCCUGACGCAGCAACGCCGCGUGAACGAUGCAGGUUUUCGGAUUGUAAACUCCUUUAGUUAGAGAGGAUAAUGACGGUAUCCACAGAAGAAGCACCGGCUAACUCCGUGCCAGCAGCCGCGGUAAUACGGAGGGUGCAAGCGUUAUUCGGAAUCAUUGGGCGUAAAGAGCGCGUAGGCGGGAUGGCAAGUCAGAUGUGAAAGGCGCAGGCUAAACCUGAGUAUGGCAUUUGAUACUGGUAAUCUGGAAUAUGGUAGAGGUAGAUGGAAUUCUUGGUGUAGCGGUGAAAUGCGUAGAGAUCAAGAGGAAUA